This 373-nucleotide RNase P RNA is filed under the name Pseudomonadota bacterium. RNAcentral's name for it is "RNase P RNA component class A". It matches the Rfam family "Bacterial RNase P class A". Rfam says of the family: Ribonuclease P (RNase P) is a ubiquitous endoribonuclease, found in archaea, bacteria and eukarya as well as chloroplasts and mitochondria. Its best characterised activity is the generation of mature 5'-ends of tRNAs by cleaving the 5'-leader elements of precursor-tRNAs. Lineage: Bacteria; Pseudomonadati; Pseudomonadota. The record is from RNAcentral.
UCAGGGGGCUGGGCGGCCGCGGCCUCGCGCAAGCGAGGGCGAGGAAAGUCCGGGCUCCACGGAAUAACGGUGCCGGGUAACGCCCGGCGGCUGCCUUCGGGCAGUCAGGGAUAGUGCCACAGAAAGCAUACCGCCGGCCUUCGGGCGGGUAAGGGCGAAAGGGUGCGGCAAGAGCGCACCGCGCGACUGGCAACAGGAGCGGCACGGUAAACCCCACCGGGUGCAAGACCGAAUAGGGGCGGCACAUGAGCCAUUUCCGGCUCGUCGCCCGGGUUGGUCGCUUGAGGCUGGGAGCAAUCCCGGUCCUAGAGGAAUGGUCGCCCAGUCUCCGCAAGGGGAUGGACAGAACCCGGCUUACAGGCCCCCUGGCAAA